This 574-nucleotide unclassified non-coding RNA is filed under the name Cynops pyrrhogaster (Japanese firebelly newt). RNAcentral's name for it is "8S RNA". Lineage: Eukaryota; Metazoa; Chordata; Amphibia; Caudata; Salamandridae. The record is from RNAcentral.
AAAGGGAAGCCAGUGUGGUCCAGUGGGUAAGGUCCCGACUUCCACCCAGACAACCAGGGUUCAAAUCCCGGGAUCGGCACCAGGUGAUGGAUGAUGGCGCAGCAGAGGUAAGUUGGAGGUCGGCCUGCAUGGUAAGAAAAAUGUGUGUGUGCCGUGUAAGAGUGGAGUCAUGAAUGGUGAUUGCAGAGUGGUUGGUAAGUGACAUGGGUGUGGUGAGAGCAAGGGGCAGGAUCAGUGACAGGUGUUAAGUGAGUUGGAGUGGUGGAGUCAGGGGUAGGUGUAGGGGGAGUGCAGGGUUAGAUGGGUGGGGAGAGGGGGAGUGCAGGGUAGGAGAGUGGAGGAGCUUGGGACAGAGAGGAGGUGUGUCAGAGCAGAGGGUGGGGCUGUAUGUGUGCACAAGUGGGGUGGGUGGAGUCAGGGGAUAGGGGGAGGGGGAGUGCAGGCAUAAGCGGGUGGGAUACUAGGGACAAAGAAGGGGGUCAUAGAGGGAGGAGGAGCCUGGAGCAGAGUGGGGCCAGAUGUGGGCACUCAUGCAGUGGUUCUCUAGCCCACAGUAGGAUGUGGGGUACCCCAA